This is a non-coding RNA of Rhodococcus sp. MTM3W5.2, 72 nucleotides long. NCBI's taxonomy places the organism in Bacteria, Bacillati, Actinomycetota, Actinomycetes, Mycobacteriales, Nocardiaceae. The record is from Rfam.
CUUGACCGAACCGAGCCACAAAGGCCUGCCCUCGCGGUCCUGCCCGUAGGCGGCCAGCAGCGCCUGUGCCUC